GUAUAAGCUUUGAAGGAGAAAAGUACAUUGGAUGAGUUUUAUAGAGAGUCAAGAAUGGUGGAAUCUUGAUAAAUUAACCUUUGGAAAGAAGCUCUGGAGCUAUAAUCUGAAAAUCAAGUUUAAUCUUUUUAUUAAAUUUGGAGUAGGUUUAUGGGAGACAUUCCUUAUUAUGUGUUAAGUGGGCUUAUAGCCAAUUUAGGUGGUACCGCGAAGUUAACCCUUCGUCCUAUAC
RNAcentral lists this non-coding RNA (232 nucleotides) under Clostridium cylindrosporum. RNAcentral's name for it is "T-box sequence". It matches the Rfam family "T-box leader". Rfam says of the family: Uncharged tRNA acts as the effector for transcription antitermination of genes in the T-box leader family. T-boxes are found upstream of many aminoacyl-tRNA synthetase genes and some amino acid biosynthetic genes usually in Gram-positive bacteria. The anticodon of a specific tRNA base pairs to a specifier sequence within the T-box motif, and the NCCA acceptor tail of the tRNA base pairs to a conserved bulge in the T-box antiterminator hairpin. The record is from RNAcentral. Lineage: Bacteria; Bacillati; Bacillota; Clostridia; Eubacteriales; Clostridiaceae.